AACUGAUACUACCUGCGGGAACCUGCGGAGGGAUCAUUAAUGUUACCUCAUCCAACUUGCUUGCUGGCGCCUUUCUUUGGGCCGUCAACAAGCAAAGCACCCGUGAAAAAGUUAAAGUCCUUAACAGCAUCCAGCGCCGCUGGACCUGCUGUUAAAGCGCCAUUUUUUAAAAACAAUCACGUCUAAUCAAUGAGCGCCAAGACUUCAUUGCGAGUCUUGGCGCGAUCAAUUCCGUAAUUA
RNAcentral lists this unclassified non-coding RNA (240 nucleotides) under soil metagenome. Its description in RNAcentral is "partial contains 5.8S ribosomal RNA, internal transcribed spacer 2, and large subunit ribosomal RNA". The record is from RNAcentral.